This 253-nucleotide ribosomal RNA is filed under the name uncultured bacterium. Its description in RNAcentral is "partial 16S ribosomal RNA". It matches the Rfam family "Bacterial small subunit ribosomal RNA", at positions 524 to 776 of the family's 1533-position model. The record is from RNAcentral.
GACAGAGGGUGCAAACGUUGUUCGGAUUUACUGGGCGUAAAGCGCGUGUAGGCGGCUUUGCAAGUCGGAUGUGAAAGCCCACGGCUCAACCGUGGAAGUGCAUCCGAAACUGCAUGGCUCGAGUCUCGGAGAGGAAGGUGGAAUGCUUGGUGUAGAGGUGAAAUUCGUAGAUAUCGGGAGGAACACCAGUGGCGAAGGCGGCGACCUGGGCCAAUAUUGACGCUGAGGUGCGAAAGCGUGGGGAGCAAACAGG